GGAUCACGGAGGUUUAUUAAUGAGAAUUUCCCCGUUCUACCUCUGGGCUUAGUCUGUGUGAAAAUCUAAGAAAGGCUCAUUAGUUUUUAUAUUAGUCAGGGUUCUCCAGAGAAUCCAAACCAAUAGGAUGUACAUAGGUAAAGAGAUUUAUCUUAAGGAAUUAGCUCAUGUGACUAUGACAAUCGGCAAGCUAAAGACCCAGGAGAGCGGUGGUGUGUUUCCAGUUUGAAUGCCAACAGGCUUGAGAUCAGAAAGAGUGGAUGUUUUAGUCUGAGUCCAAAGGCAGGAAAAAAUCAUGUCCCAUCUUAAGGUAGUUGGGCCACAGUUCCUCCUUACUUGGGGGAGGGUCAGCCUUUUGGUUUUAUUCAGGUCCUCAACAGAUUUCAUGAGGCCCACCUGUAUCAGGAAGGCCAAUAGUCCACUGAUUCAAAUGUUAAUCUCAUCCAGAAGUACCCUCCCAGACACACCCAGCAUAAUGCAUGACCAAAAUGUCUGGGCAUCCUGUGGCUUAGUCAAGUUGACAAGUAAAAUUAACAAUUGCAGUUUUCAUUAUGGAAGGCUAACAUUUCAGCCUAAUUGUUUGGUGAUCAAAGCUGAUGAUUCUGUCUCCAAUCAGCCCUACAGAAUGCUGAUCUUCCCACAUCAGAGUGAAGACAAGUUCCCAGGGUGCAAUGAAUCUUAA
This 682-nucleotide long non-coding RNA is filed under the name Vulpes vulpes (red fox). RNAcentral describes it as "lncRNA (ENSVVUG00000015528.1)". Lineage: Eukaryota; Metazoa; Chordata; Mammalia; Carnivora; Canidae. The record is from RNAcentral.